UACGUAGGGACCGAGCGUUGUCCGGAAUCAUUGGGCGUAAAGAGCGUGUAGGCGGCCACUUAAGUCCUGCGUGAAAUCUUGCGGCUCAACCGCAAGCGGUCGUGGGAAACUGGGUGGCUAGAGUGCGGGAGAGGAGAGUGGAAUUCCUGGUGUAGCGGUGGAAUGCGCAGAUAUCAGGAAGAACACCCGUGGCGAAGGCGGGUUUCUGGAACGCAACUGACGCUGAGACGCGAAAGCGUGGGGAGCAAACAGG
RNAcentral lists this ribosomal RNA (253 nucleotides) under uncultured bacterium. Its description in RNAcentral is "partial 16S ribosomal RNA". It matches the Rfam family "Bacterial small subunit ribosomal RNA", at positions 524 to 776 of the family's 1533-position model. The record is from RNAcentral.